Molecule: ribosomal RNA, 253 nt
Filed under: uncultured bacterium
Lineage: Bacteria
Description: partial 16S ribosomal RNA
Rfam family: Bacterial small subunit ribosomal RNA
Source: RNAcentral
UACGUAGGUGGCAAGCGUUGUCCGGAAUUACUGGGCGUAAAGGGCGUGUAGGCGGGGCGGCAAGUCAGAUGUGAAAUCCCAUGGCUUAACUGUGGAGCUGCAUCUGAAACUGUCGUUCUUGAGUGUCGGAGAGGAAAGUGGAAUUCCCAGUGUAGCGGUGAAAUGCGUAGAGAUUGGGAGGAACACCAGUGGCGAAGGCGGCUUACUGGGUCUCUUCUGACGCUGAGGCACGAAAGCUAAGGCAGCAAACGGG